AUUAAUACAGUACAGAAAUUAUGUCUCCUAUUUGAUGAAAUUAUUCACCACUUGAUUACAUUGAUUCAUACUGAAUUUUAUUUUGAUAGAAAAGUAAACUUAAUGCAUAUAGAACAAUUAAUUAUGUUGAUUAGAGAACAGCGAUACAUAAAACUGUCAGAAAAAUCUAAAAGAUCUUGGUAGAAAAUUAAACAAAAUUUAAUCUUGAUAGAAGCCCACAUAGCACAGUGCAGCCGGUUGACGAACAUGUGCCUUCUGUCUUUACUGGGUACCCUACAGUGUAAAGAUACAGAGAAAAUUCAGUGUUAAAGAUCCAGAGAGGAAACCCGCAAACACAACUCAGCGUCUACUGCACGCACACACAUCUCAAUCGUAUACACGCCGUAGCCCUCGAUAGCCACUGCCGCCACCAUGUCAGCACGCACACACAACACCCUAAGAUUUGGAGAAGGCAGUAGCCAAGCUUAAGCAAUCGAUUGAAGAGGGAGGCCACGCACCACCCUUAGGCUUCCCACACUACCCACGAACGGCUGUUAUAACUACCAGCUUAGGCAAAUGAACCUGACCUGUGGUCGAAGCAGCAUCAUGAGGCCAUGGUGUCAAGGAAGCCAACAGAAGGGGCGGGAGCCACACCGGAAUGCAGCGGUGGCUAGGGUACACUAUGGCCUCCUGCGAGCCAUUGUCCUAGACCGGCCACCGCACGGUUGCUCUGCUCCGACCAGGCCAACAUCUGGGGAUGGGCCCAUGCUAGAUCUGCGCGCGCCCAAGACGCAGAUCUCAUCACUCAGGCUGCUGCCACCGUCAAACUCGGCAGAUCAGCAGCGCAUGUUGCGGAUGUGACGUGAAGACAGGGC
This 854-nucleotide long non-coding RNA is filed under the name Triticum aestivum (bread wheat). Its description in RNAcentral is "long non-coding RNA (TAES_LNC002427)". Lineage: Eukaryota; Viridiplantae; Streptophyta; Magnoliopsida; Poales; Poaceae. The record is from RNAcentral.